This 160-nucleotide ribosomal RNA is filed under the name uncultured bacterium. Its description in RNAcentral is "partial 16S ribosomal RNA". It matches the Rfam family "Bacterial small subunit ribosomal RNA", at positions 353 to 505 of the family's 1533-position model. The record is from RNAcentral.
AGUGGGGAAUAUUGCACAAUGGGCGCAAGCCUGAUGCAGCCAUGCCGCGUGUAUGAAGAAGGCCUUCGGGUUGUAAAGUACUUUCAGCGAGGAGGAAGGCGUUAAGGUUAAUAGCCUUAGCGAUUGACGUUACCCGCAGAAGAAGCACCGGCUAACUCCG